Molecule: RNase P RNA, 398 nt
Filed under: Clostridia bacterium
Lineage: Bacteria; Bacillati; Bacillota; Clostridia
Description: RNase P RNA component class A
Rfam family: Bacterial RNase P class A
About the family: Ribonuclease P (RNase P) is a ubiquitous endoribonuclease, found in archaea, bacteria and eukarya as well as chloroplasts and mitochondria. Its best characterised activity is the generation of mature 5'-ends of tRNAs by cleaving the 5'-leader elements of precursor-tRNAs.
Source: RNAcentral
UGAGUAAAACAGGUGGUCGCAAGUGCCGUUGACGCACUUGAGGAAAGUCCGAACUCCGCAGGGCAGGAUGCUGGAUAACGUCCAGUGGGGGCGACCCUAAGGAUAGUGCCACAGAAACAAACCGCCCAGCAUUCAAUUGUUUAUUUAUCUGACAUUUGAAGAUAUAUGGUUAAAUAAAUAAUUGAGUGCUGGGUAAGGGUGGAAAGGUGGAGUAAGAGCCCACCAGCGGGCUAGGUGACUAGUCUGGCUAGGUAAACCCCAUCCGGAGCAAGGUGAAUAGGGGAACAUGAGAAGUUGCCCGCUUCGUUCCCGGGUAAAACCGCUUGAGGUGUCAGGUAACUGACAUCCCAGAUAGAUGACCGCUUAAAACAGAAUUCGGCUUAUGGUUUGCUCAGCCA